UUAUACUGGACACGCAGGGUAUGGUAGG
Molecule: small RNA, 28 nt
Filed under: Bombyx mori (domestic silkworm)
Lineage: Eukaryota; Metazoa; Arthropoda; Insecta; Lepidoptera; Bombycidae
Description: ovarian small RNA-36786
Source: RNAcentral